GAUGAACGCUGGCGGCGUGCCUAAUACAUGCCAGUCGAGCGAACAGACGAGGAGCUUGCUCCUCUGACGUUAGCGGCGGACGGGUGAGUAACACGUGGAUAACCUACCUAUAAGACUGGGAUAACUUCGGGAAACCGGAGCUAAUACCGGAUAACAUGUUGAACCGCAUGGUUCAACAGUGAAAGACGGUCUUGCUGUCGCUUAUAGAUGGAUCCGCGCCGCAUUAGCUAGUUGGUAAGGUAACGGCUUACCAAGGCAACGAUGCGUAGCCGACCUGAGAGGGUGAUCGGCCACACUGGAACUGAGACACGGUCCAGACUCCUACGGGAGGCAGCAGUAGGGAAUCUUCCGCAAUGGGCGAAAGCCUGACGGAGCAACGCCGCGUGAGUGAAGAAGGUCUUCGGAUCGUAAAACUCUGUUAUUAGGGAAGAACAAAUGUGUAAGUAACUAUGCACGUCUUGACGGUACCUAAUCAGAAAGCCACGGCUAACUACGUG
RNAcentral lists this ribosomal RNA (497 nucleotides) under uncultured bacterium. Its description in RNAcentral is "partial 16S ribosomal RNA". It matches the Rfam family "Bacterial small subunit ribosomal RNA", at positions 28 to 507 of the family's 1533-position model. The record is from RNAcentral.